RNAcentral lists this ribosomal RNA (483 nucleotides) under uncultured bacterium. Its description in RNAcentral is "partial 16S ribosomal RNA". It matches the Rfam family "Bacterial small subunit ribosomal RNA", at positions 30 to 506 of the family's 1533-position model. The record is from RNAcentral.
AUUGAACGCUGGCGGCAGGCCUAACACAUGCAAGUCGAGCGGAUGAAGGGAGCUUGCUCCUGGAUUCAGCGGCGGACGGGUGAGUAAUGCCUAGGAAUCUGCCUGGUAGUGGGGGAUAACGUCCGGAAACGGGCGCUAAUACCGCAUACGUCCUGAGGGAGAAAGUGGGGGAUCUUCGGACCUCACGCUAUCAGAUGAGCCUAGGUCGGAUUAGCUAGUUGGUGGGGUAAAGGCCUACCAAGGCGACGAUCCGUAACUGGUCUGAGAGGAUGAUCAGUCACACUGGAACUGAGACACGGUCCAGACUCCUACGGGAGGCAGCAGUGGGGAAUAUUGGACAAUGGGCGAAAGCCUGAUCCAGCCAUGCCGCGUGUGUGAAGAAGGUCUUCGGAUUGUAAAGCACUUUAAGUUGGGAGGAAGGGCAGUAAGUUAAGACCUUGCUGUUUGGACGUUACCAACAGAAUAAGCACCGGCUAACUGCGU